RNAcentral lists this ribosomal RNA (275 nucleotides) under uncultured bacterium. RNAcentral describes it as "partial 16S ribosomal RNA". It matches the Rfam family "Bacterial small subunit ribosomal RNA", at positions 523 to 796 of the family's 1533-position model. The record is from RNAcentral.
AGACGGAGGGCGCAAGCGUUGUUCGGAAUUACUGGGCGUAAAGGGCAGGUAGGUGGUCUGUUAAGUCUUCUGUGAAAAUCCGGGGCUCAACCCCGCGAAAUGCAGGUGAAACUGGCAGACUAGAGACCGGUAGAGGCUAGCGGAAUUCCUGGUGUAGCGGUGGAAUGCGUAGAUAUCAGGAAGAACACCUGUGGCGAAGGCGGCUAGCUGGGCCGGUUCUGACACUAAACUGCGAAAGCGUGGGGAGCAAACAGGAUUGGAAACCCCAGUAGUCC